RNAcentral lists this ribosomal RNA (1485 nucleotides) under human gut metagenome. RNAcentral describes it as "bacterial LSU rRNA". It matches the Rfam family "Bacterial large subunit ribosomal RNA", at positions 487 to 2064 of the family's 2925-position model. The record is from RNAcentral.
AUAGCGUAUAGUACUGUGAAGGAAAGGUGAAAAGCACCCCGGGAGGGGAGUGAAAAAGAACCUGAAACCCUGUGCCUACAAGCACCUAGAGCACGUCAAAGUGUGAUAGGGUACUUUUUGUAGAACGGUCCGGCGAGCGAUUGUAUGCAGCAAGGUUAAGGACUUAAGGUCUGGAGCCGAAGCGAAAGCGAGUUUGAAAAGGGCGUUAAGUUGCAUACAAUGGGCCCGAAACCGGGUGACCUACCCAUGGUCAGGUUGAAGUGGAAGUAAAAUUCCAUGGAGGACCGAACCGACCUCCGUUGAAAAGGCGGCGGAUGAACUGUGGGUAGCGGAGAAAUUCCAAUCGAACCCGGAGAUAGCUGGUUCUCCCCGAAAUAGUUUUAGGACUAGCCUCAAGUUAGAUACCUGGAGGUAAAGCACUGAAUAGCCUAGCGGCCGAGAGGUUAGCGAAGCUUAUCAAACUCAGAAUGCCAGAGUAUUGAUGCUUGGGAGUCAGACAGUGUCAGAUAAAUGUCAUUGUCAAAAGGGAAACAGCCCAGAUCUACAGCUAAGGUCCCAAAGUCAGGUUAAGUGGAAAACGAUGUGAAGAUACGCAGACAACCAGGAUGUUGGCUCAGAAGCAGCCACUCAUUCAAAGAGUGCGUAAUAGCUCACUGGUCGAGCGUCUUUGCGCGGAGAAUUUAACGGGGCUAAACCUGACACCGAAGCUUAGGCAAUCCAGUAAUGGAUUGGGUAGGGGAGCGUUGUAUACGCGGAGAAACAGUAGCGUAAGCGGCUGUGGAGUGUAUAGAAGUGAGAAUGCCGGAAUGAGUAGCGCGAAUGCAGUGAGAAUCUGCAUGGCCGAAAGCCUCAGGUUUUUGGAGGAAGGUUCGUCCGCUCCAAGUUAGUCGGGAGCUAAGGUGAGGCCGAAAGGCGUAGCCGAUGCACAGACGGUAGAGAUUCCGUCACCACCAAAAGAGUUAAGCACAGGGACACAUUUGAAGUCUCAGAGCCGGGUGUUGGUUCCGGUAGAGAUCGAGGGAAGUUAGUACCGAAGUCUGGGAUGGAAGAUGGCGAGAAAAGCUGUGUGGAUUUCUGAGGUGCCCGUACCGCAAACCGACACAGGUAGGUAGGAAGAAGAUUCUAAGGCCAACGGGAGAAGGGUUGUUAAGGAACUCGGCAAAUUGACCCCGUAACUUCGGGAGAAGGGGUGCUCCAGAGAUGGAGCCGCAGAGAAUCGGCCCAAGCAACUGUUUACCAAAAACACAGGUUUGUGCUAAAUCGAAAGAUGACGUAUACGAGCUGACGCCUGCCCGGUGCUGGAAGGUUAAAAGGAGAUGUGCAAGCAUUGAAUUGAAGCCCCAGUGAACGGCGGCCGUAACUAUAACGGUCCUAAGGUAGCGAAAUUCCUUGUCAGGUAAGUUCUGACCCGCAUGAAAGGCGUAAUGAUUUGGGCACUGUCUCAACAGCCCGCCCGGCGAAAUUGUAGUACCGGUGAAGAUGCCG